UUUGGUUAAGUUAGAAAGGGCGCACGGUGGAUGCCUUGACACUAGGAGUCGAUGAAGGACGGGACUAACGCCGAUAUGCUUCGGGGAGCUGUAAGUAAGCUUUGAUCCGAAGAUUUCCGAAUGGGGAAACCCACCAUACGUAAUGGUAUGGUAUCCUUAUCUGAAUACAUAGGGUAAGGAAGACAGACCCAGGGAACUGAAACAUCUAAGUACCUGGAGGAAGAGAAAGCAAAUGCGAUUUCCUGAGUAGCGGCGAGCGAAACGGAACAUAGCCCAAACCAAGAGGCUUGCCUCUUGGGGUUGUAGGACAUUCUAUACGGAGUUACAAAGGAACGAGGUAGACGAAGCGACCUGGAAAGGUCCGUCGUAGAGGGUAACAACCCCGUAGUCGAAACUUCGUUCUCUCUUGAAUGUAUCCUGAGUACGGCGGAACACGUGAAAUUCCGUCGGAAUCUGGGAGGACCAUCUCCCAAGGCUAAAUACUCCCUAGUGAUCGAUAGUGAACCAGUACCGUGAGGGAAAGGUGAAAAGCACCCCGGAAGGGGAGUGAAAGAGAUCCUGAAACCGUGUGCCUACAAAUAGUCAGAGCCCGUUAACGGGUGAUGGCGUGCCUUUUGUAGAAUGAACCGGCGAGUUACGAUCCCGUGCGAGGUUAAGCUGAAGAGGCGGAGCCGCAGCGAAAGCGAGUCUGAAUAGGGCGUUUAGUACGUGGUCGUAGACCCGAAACCAGGUGAUCUACCCAUGUCCAGGGUGAAGUUCAGGUAACACUGAAUGGAGGCCCGAACCCACGCACGUUGAAAAGUGCGGGGAUGAGGUGUGGGUAGCGGAGAAAUUCCAAUCGAACCUGGAGAUAGCUGGUUCUCCCCGAAAUAGCUUUAGGGCUAGCCUUAAGUGUAAGAGUCUUGGAGGUAGAGCACUGAUUGGACUAGGGGUCCUCAUCGGAUUACCGAAUUCAGUCAAACUCCGAAUGCCAAUGACUUAUCCUUAGGAGUCAGACUGCGAGUGAUAAGAUCCGUAGUCAAAAGGGAAACAGCCCAGACCGCCAGCUAAGGUCCCAAAGUGUGUAUUAAGUGGAAAAGGAUGUGGAGUUGCUUAGACAACUAGGAUGUUGGCUUAGAAGCAGCCACCAUUUAAAGAGUGCGUAAUAGCUCACUAGUCGAGUGACUCUGCGCCGAAAAUGUACCGGGGCUAAAUACACCACCGAAGCUGCGGAUUGAUACCAAUGGUAUCAGUGGUAGGGGAGCGUUCUAAGGACAGUGAAGUCAGACCGUAAGGACUGGUGGAGUGCUUAGAAGUGAGAAUGCCGGUAUGAGUAGCGAAAGACGGGUGAGAAUCCCGUCCACCGAAUGCCUAAGGUUUCCUGAGGAAGGCUCGUCCGCUCAGGGUUAGUCAGGACCUAAGCCGAGGCCGACAGGCGUAGGCGAUGGACAACAGGUUGAUAUUCCUGUACCACCUCUUUAUCGUUUGAGCAAUGGAGGGACGCAGAAGGAUAGAAGAAGCGUGCGAUUGGUUGUGCACGUCCAAGCAGUUAGGCUGAUAAGUAGGCAAAUCCGCUUAUCGUGAAGGCUGAGCUGUGAUGGGGAAGCUCCUUAUGGAGCGAAGUCUUUGAUUCCCCGCUGCCAAGAAAAGCUUCUAGCGAGAUAAAAGGUGCCUGUACCGCAAACCGACACAGGUAGGCGAGGAGAGAAUCCUAAGGUGUGCGAGAGAACUCUGGUUAAGGAACUCGGCAAAAUGACCCCGUAACUUCGGGAGAAGGGGUGCUUUCUUAACGGAAAGCCGCAGUGAAUAGGCCCAAGCGACUGUUUAGCAAAAACACAGCUCUCUGCGAAGCCGUAAGGCGAAGUAUAGGGGGUGACACCUGCCCGGUGCUGGAAGGUUAAGGAGAGGGGUUAGCGUAAGCGAAGCUCUGAACUGAAGCCCCAGUAAACGGCGGCCGUAACUAUAACGGUCCUAAGGUAGCGAAAUUCCUUGUCGGGUAAGUUCCGACCCGCACGAAAGGUGUAACGAUUUGGGCACUGUCUCAACCAGAGACUCGGUGAAAUUAUAGUACCUGUGAAGAUGCAGGUUACCCGCGACAGGACGGAAAGACCCCGUGGAGCUUUACUGUAGCCUGAUAUUGAAUUUUGGUACAGUUUGUACAGGAUAGGCGGGAGCCAUUGAAACCGGAGCGCUAGCUUCGGUGGAGGCGCUGGUGGGAUACCGCCCUGACUGUAUUGAAAUUCUAACCUACGGGUCUUAUCGACCCGGGAGACAGUGUCAGGUGGGCAGUUUGACUGGGGCGGUCGCCUCCUAAAGUGUAACGGAGGCGCCCAAAGGUUCCCUCAGAAUGGUUGGAAAUCAUUCGUAGAGUGCAAAGGCAUAAGGGAGCUUGACUGCGAGACCUACAAGUCGAGCAGGGACGAAAGUCGGGCUUAGUGAUCCGGUGGUUCCGCAUGGAAGGGCCAUCGCUCAACGGAUAAAAGCUACCCCGGGGAUAACAGGCUUAUCUCCCCCAAGAGUCCACAUCGACGGGGAGGUUUGGCACCUCGAUGUCGGCUCAUCGCAUCCUGGGGCUGUAGUCGGUCCCAAGGGUUGGGCUGUUCGCCCAUUAAAGCGGUACGCGAGCUGGGUUCAGAACGUCGUGAGACAGUUCGGUCCCUAUCCGUCGUGGGCGUAGGAAAUUUGAGAGGAGCUGUCCUUAGUACGAGAGGACCGGGAUGGACGCACCGCUGGUGUACCAGUUGUUCUGCCAAGGGCAUAGCUGGAUAGCUAUGUGCGGAAGGGAUAAGUGCUGAAAGCAUCUAAGCAUGAAGCCCCCCUCAAGAUGAGAUUUCCCAUAGCGUAAGCUAGUAAGAUCCCUGAAAGAUGAUCAGGUUGAUAGGUUCGAGGUGGAAGCAUGGUGACAUGUGGAGCUGACGAAUACUAAUAGAUCGAGGACUUAACCAUAUAA
This 2929-nucleotide ribosomal RNA is filed under the name Bacillus thuringiensis. RNAcentral describes it as "23S ribosomal RNA". It matches the Rfam family "Bacterial large subunit ribosomal RNA". The record is from RNAcentral. Lineage: Bacteria; Bacillati; Bacillota; Bacilli; Caryophanales; Bacillaceae.